GUACCACGCCGUAAACGAUAGAGUGGCUAAUUUGUAGGGGGUUUCCGCCCCUUAGUGCUGCAGCUAACGCAUUAAGCACUCCGCCUGGGGAGUACGGUCGCAAGACUGAAACUCAAAGGAAUUGACGGGGGCCCGCACAAGCGGUGGAGCAUGUGGUUUAAUUCGAAGCAACGCGAAGAACCUUACCAGGUCUUGACAUCCUCUGACAAUCCUAGAGAUAGGACGUCCCCUUCGGGGGCAGAGUGACAGGUGGUGCAUGGUUGUCGUCAGCUCGUGUCGUGAGAUGUUGGGUUAAGUCCCGCAACGAGCGCAACCCUUGAUCUUAGUUGCCAGCAUUCAGUUGGGCACUCUAAGGUGACUGCCGGUGACAAACCGGAGGAAGGUGGGGAUGACGUCAAAUCAUCAUGCCCCUUAUGACCUGGGCUACACACGUGCUACAAUGGACAGAACAAAGGGCAGCGAAACCGCGAGGUUAAACCAAUCCCACAAAUCUGUUCUCAGUUCGGAUCGCAGUCUGCAACUCGACUGCGUGAAGCUGGAAUCGCUAGUAAUCGCGGAUCACAUGCCGCGGUGAAUACGUUCCCCGGGG
RNAcentral lists this ribosomal RNA (589 nucleotides) under Bacillus subtilis. RNAcentral describes it as "bacterial SSU rRNA". It matches the Rfam family "Bacterial small subunit ribosomal RNA", at positions 790 to 1379 of the family's 1533-position model. The record is from RNAcentral. Lineage: Bacteria; Bacillati; Bacillota; Bacilli; Caryophanales; Bacillaceae.